RNAcentral lists this long non-coding RNA (3693 nucleotides) under Sus scrofa (pig). RNAcentral's name for it is "lncRNA (ENSSSCG00030016577.1)". Lineage: Eukaryota; Metazoa; Chordata; Mammalia; Artiodactyla; Suidae. The record is from RNAcentral.
UCCACCACAGGCAUUGAUGUGACUCCACUUGACCUUCUCUUUUCCUGGGAAAUCUUCAGCGUCUUCCCGGGCUUGCUAGACAUAAAGUUGCCUUCAGAACCAAAAGAGUCUAUUGCACUUGGAGGCAUUUGGCAGAGACCCAGAGUCUCUUAGGUUUGCGCCUCAGCGUGUCUUGGAGAUGGAACAGGUUCAUGCCUGCCUGGUUAGUAGCGAGAAGGGAGGAGAGGACCCCAGGGGGAUGGGGCUGCAGAGCUCAUUCAGGAGUCAAGGGCAAAACCUCAUUGUGCUCGCCCAGGGCCAGUAGCAAGGCCUGGGUGGGUCUGUCGGGUCUAAGACCCCUCUUCACCUGGGAUCGCAGCCUAUGCUGAUUUGUGAAUGCCUCGCUCCCACCCCACUUCUGGCUCCAUCUACUCCCGCAACCCUGACAAAAAUCCAUAUCCUUGCAGUUUUGACCUACUCAUCUGUAGACCUUGCUCAAGAGUAAUUUUCGCUGGGUAUUAACCUUUGUACAACAAAGUUGAUUGCCAACAGCUAGAAAAAUUCUUUAGGAAAAAAACAUGGACAAAAAUAGAAAUAAGAAUACUGGCGUGCCCCAUGAGCCAGCAAGUGGCUAAGCACCUUACCUGGGUUAUCUCCUUACAUCCUCCCAACCCACUCUCCACCCCCCACCAAGAACGUAGGUACUAUAUUGUCUCCUUUUUUGCUGCUGAAGACACUGAGCCUCAAGGAAAUAAGAACCCUAAGUUUAGCCAGCUAGCCUGACCUGGAUGGAACAGGGUCAACUUUUCUGAAAGCCAGCUUCCCUCCCAGACUAGACUUGGGAGAGAAACCUGCUCACUAGGAGGGCUAAAGGGAGCCUCUCUCUGGGACAAAGUGGUCCUUUUCUGUAUAGCUCUGUCCCAGCCUGUAGGGAGCCAGGAAAGUGUUUUCUACAGGCUCCAGCUCACAGACCAUUCAGCUGGGAGGCAGUAACCAGAUGGACCAGCGAUUCCCAUCCAGGGCCCAGCUUGCUGCUGCCAGGGCUAGGAGUCAGUAUGACCCUGCACUUGCCAUGAUUCAGAGAUGAAGCAGAGGUACUUGCUGUGUCAUAUGUCCCCACAAAAGGAGUGCAGGAUAAUAAUUCCUUUGUGAGAGCCCUUUAAAAGAGCACUUACAUUUGUAAGGGGGUUGGGGAGAGAGAAAAAGAAAAGAAAGAACCUCUAAUUUUUGGGCAUAUUUAUCCUGGGAGAUGAGCACAUUUUGGUGGUGGCAAACAGUUCGGUGAUUUGCAACAUUAGAACAAGUAGUUCUAUUUCCAGUAUGCUCCCUGUGAUGAUGGGGAGAGGUACUGAUAUAAACACAGGCAAGAGUAUUUCCUUUUUACUAAGAAGUCCCAUUUCCUCGUGGGACUUCAGGAAAAUGUUCUCAGGGUGAAACAGAGAGUUGUCCAUUUAUGUUUCCAGAAGUUCCUGCCUGUGGGUGCUGAUGGGGGAACAAAUGGCAAGAAGGGACGCUCCCCAUUUUUUCCCUCUUAAUUUACUUCAAUGCUCUUUUCACAGAUUUCAUGAAGAAUCCAACUUUAGAACUAAUUUUUUUUUCCAGCUAGGAAAGCAGAUUAUGCCUUAGGCAUAAUCAUAGCAGACUUAUGUAGUAGCAAUAAUAGAGAAGGAUUAAUUUUCCUACCAAAUUGGUGUAGGUAGUAUUUGACCUAACUUUUUUCUUUUCUUUCGGUAUUUUUUUUUUUUUUAAUAUUCUUGUGAGGGUGAAGCGAUUUUGAGAGCACUCUUAGAAUCUCUCUCUCUCUCAUAUAUAUUACUUCUCUGUGAGGCUAAGCAUCUAAUUUUUUUUAAGGCUGAUGUGGAAAAAAAAUCCUUGUACCUAGUUAGUCAUUUUUUAAAAAAAAUUCACAGCAGCAAAAUGACAGACAGCUUUCAAAUCUUCAACUUGUAGGAGGGAACCCCAAUGUGUAUUACUCAUCUGGAAGAAAAUGGUCAGCGUGGGUCAGCCAGUCCUAGGGGAAUAUUGUAAAUCAAGAUCAGCUGUGCCUUCCUGGUGACACUCCAGGCCUUUUCUGCUUUUAGAACCUCCUGGCUUGGGAAGUGGAUCAUGCAGGCCAGGGGGAGGUGGAAGCAUGGGUGGGGCCGUGGGUGUAGCAUGAAGAAUACAGAAAUCUAGUAGGAGGGGGAAAGAGAGAUUAUUUUCCUGCUCUCCAUGGAAACUUUUUCACUUAUGUGUCUAUUGCACGCCCACUAAUUGAGUAGGUAGGAUGUUCCCAGCAUGGUACAAGACACUUGUGGAUACAAAGAUUAGUAAGUCCUGGCCUCAAGGAGUUUUCAAGUCUGUGGGGGUGAAGCAAGCAAACAUGACAUCAUCAUACUCGCUGAUAACAGGUACAAAGAUCUUUGGAAGCUUGAAAGAAGGUGGUUCUUCCUGCUUCAGAAAACCACCUGGGAAAACUGUCAAUAGUGAAGGUGAUUUAACCUGGGAUUCAGAAGGUGUGGGAGGUGGAGCAGAACAAGGAUGGGGAGAAGAAAGAAAUGGGAAAUCCAGGGGGAGGGAGGCACAGAGUAAAGGUAGGGACGUUCAGACCAGGUUUUGAUUUCUCUGAAGGACAAUCAUGUUUAGUUUCUUGGAUUAUUGAGGUUUGUGUGAAGAAGCUAUGGGUUUCUCACAUCUAAUUCUUAAUUAGAAUGUGUCUUCCUCCGCCCUGUCAUUCUCAUGAUGGGUAGGGGCAGUGGAUUUGAAAUGGUUUCCAAGAGAAUGGAGGUUCUUUUUAGUCUGAUGGAUGAGCCACAUUUAGAUUUCCUUCUAGAGUGAGUACAUUGAGCUCCUUGUGUCCUGGACAUUUAACUGAAGUUUUAAGACAGAGAAAGCCACGUAGAAGUGGACAAGGUUGUGAAAAUAUGAGACAGUAUUAGUACAAGGAGCAUUGUGUUCCCCUGCUUCAAAUUCCUGCCAGGAUGUAUUCCUAACUUUGCAUGUGUGCCAGAAGUUUGGGUACCAUUGGCUUCCUCUUCAGUGCUUAUGCUUCUCUCAGAACAGAUGAAACAUGCUGUUUUGGUUAGUUCUAUGUGUCUCUCUCUCCCUUGGGGCUGGAAGCCCCUCAGAGGCUGGGAGUAGAACUGUUUCACUUAUAUUCCCAGCUCCUGGCACGGCGCCAGGCACAUAAUAAGGGCUCAGUCAGUUCUAAAUGAAUGAACAAUGCAAAUGUAAGGCUUUUACCUUGUGUUCGUGAUAGCUGGAGAAUCUGAAUAUCUUUUUAUGUUUAUCAUUUAGAGUUUUUAAUUAUGAUUGCAAAAAGUAAUCACAAUUACAACUAAUUCUGAUAAAAACCAGUUUGUAUGGUGGGACUAAUCUGUUGAGGUAAAAACCAUGAGCACAAUGGUUAUUCAACUGUGUCCUCUGCCUUGACUUUGGAUAGUCACCUCCAAGAAACUCAAGAGCCUCAGGGUUGAAAACAAAAGGCUUCAAAUCCAUGUUGUCCAGUGCUCUGGUUACCUCUCAGCAUGAGGAUUAGUCUUCACUAUGCUCCCUAUCUUAAUCUUCAUACCUUCAGAACCAUAGUAACUUCUCAUACAACCCAAACUCACUUUUUGCAUAUAUUCUGCUGUGGUUAUUUUGUUGUCAUUUGAUAUACAAUUUGAACAUUGGCCAACAUACUUUCUUAGUCAGACUACAGUGAGGUUAGGAUUCUUCUUCCUAUGGCUUCUAUAU